CCUACGGGAGGCAGCAGUGGGGAAUUUUGGACAAUGGGGGCAACCCUGAUCCAGCAAUGCCGCGUGAGUGAAGAAGGCCUUCGGGUUGUAAAGCUCUUUUGUCAGGGAAGAAACAGCAGCUCUAACACAGCUGUGAAUGACGGUACCUGAAGAAUAAGCACCGGCUAACUACGUGCCAGCAGCCGCGGUAAUACGUAGGGUGCAAGCGUUAAUCGGAAUUACUGGGCGUAAAGCGUGCGCAGGCGGUUAUAUAAGACAGGUGUGAAAUCCCCGGGCUUAACCUGGGAAUUGCAUCUGUGACUGUAUAGCUAGAGUGUGUCAGAGGGGGGUAGAAUUCCACGUGUAGCAGUGAAAUGCGUAGAUAUGUGGAGGAAUACCAAUGGCGAAGGCAGCCCCCUGGGAUAACACUGACGCUCAUGCACGAAAGCGUGGGGAGCAAACAGGAUUAGAUACCCUGGUAGUCCACGCCCUAAACGAUGCUGACUAGUUGUUCGGGAUUUUAUCCUGAGUAACGUAGCUAACGCGUGAAGUCAGCCGCCUGGGGAGUACGGUCGCAAGAUUAAAACUCAAAGGAAUUGACGG
Molecule: ribosomal RNA, 582 nt
Filed under: uncultured bacterium
Lineage: Bacteria
Description: bacterial SSU rRNA
Rfam family: Bacterial small subunit ribosomal RNA
Source: RNAcentral